UUGGGCUGGAAUGAACUCUACUCUUUUUUUUGUUUACACAUAUUUUCUCCACCUUGCAGCUCCUUGAUGAUGAAAGGAAGACAUUUCUACCCCACCUUUAAACAAAACAUUUCAUCACAUUUAAUAACACAUUAUUAACGUCAACAAGUAAAAACAUAAUUUCGGCAGCGCAUUUUCUGUCUAUUCAGUAUGGAACAAAAGGACUGGUACAACAAGUUUGUGGGGAUGUGUUCAUAUUGCCAUUAAGUGAGUCACCACUUGUUUUCAUUGUGCAUGAAUGUAUGUACAAGUGUCAGACAUUGUUUGUCUACUCCUAUUAAAAGGAGACGUUCCCCUCGGUCUGACAUCAGUCUCAUCUAGGACCAAGCUGGUGACACAGACGUGAUCUCUUCUUCACCUGGUGAACGUGAACCUCGAAGCUAUGGAUAAGAGAGAAGUCCGCAAAACGAUCAGGGGGCUCUUUAAGAAGAAUGGCGAUGCUGAUGGAAAGAUAAAGAAGGAGGAUUUGAGGAAGCUGUUGGAAGAAGCAUUCGGAAGCCAUGAGAAGAAAGAUGAAAUCAUUGGCAAGAUCAUGGAUGCAGCCGACAGCGACGAGGUCACCUUGAGGCAGCUGAAGAAAUCCAUGGCUAAAAGCUGCGACCAAGGUUGUAAGGAUGAGGAAAUUGAAAAAGCCAUGCUGGACCUCUUUGAGGAGUACGAUGGAGACGAUAGCGGCGCGUUGGAGAAGGCGGAAUUCGAAAAGAUGAUCGAUGAACUACUUGAAAACCAUCCGAAAAAGGAUAAAAUCAAGAGGAGGGCCAUGAAGCGUCUCCAAAGGAGUGACAACAACAUCAGUAAAGAUGAGUUUGAGAAACUCAUGCCACUCAUAAAGAGACUCUACAAGAAAAAACUUGAGGAUCCAGAUUCUGCAGAGGAUGAAUAAACAGAAUUGUUACAGCAAAACCCUCAAGAAUGACCAUCAGAAUGAAUAACAGAAAAACCUGUUUAUUUGAGUUUGGAAAUUGUUUUUUUCAAAGAUGUGUCCAUUCAAUAUUGUCUGAGAAAAAAUAAAAGCAAUGCAAUUGACUCUGAUGUGGGCUCUUUGUCUUUUUACGCACACAACACAAAGCUGGGAAGAAAAAG
Molecule: long non-coding RNA, 1122 nt
Filed under: Sparus aurata (gilthead seabream)
Lineage: Eukaryota; Metazoa; Chordata; Actinopteri; Spariformes; Sparidae
Description: lncRNA (ENSSAUG00010014914.1)
Source: RNAcentral